CUGUAAUAUAUCAAAAUCUAAGUUAGUCCUUUCUCUAUUUGAUGCAAGUUAUUUCUCUUUAAAAGCUUUACUUGUUUAGAAGUUAUUACGAAUCAAACAGGAGUACUUUUUUUUGGGACACCCGGUAGAAUCAUAAAAUAUCUGCAAAUCAUGCCGAUAAUAUCUAUUUCAAUAUUUUGUCUGCAAAAAAAUAUUUGCCUCAAUCACCAUAGUUCUAGUUCUAUUUUAGGUUUUUAACAUUCAUACUUAAUUCUUGAGAUAUCAUGUUUACAAACAUGUUGAUUUUUCAUCAAUGGGGUGUAAUUAACAUGGUAACCAUGGCAACGGUUACUUUAAAAAACAUACUUUUUAUGUUUGUGUGGUACCAUGUCCUAAAAACUGAUCAAAGAUGAGCAUCAUAUUAUGGUAUAUAAACAAUGUAGUUUAAACUUCUGUUUAGGAUGGCUCAAUACAAUUUUUUAAAAAUGGGAAAUUUGCGAUUUUUGGAAUAUGUAAAACAAAAUCUAAAAAGUUACGCAACUGCCGUUGCUAUGCAAACAAUGACGUUCCAAUAUGGUGGAUUUUUUCUUUUUAAGUCGAAAACGACGUCGUAACCCCCAAUUUUUAUUUCAUAAAAUAGUUUCUCUUAGUGUAUUGAAUUACGCUGACAAUUUUAAAACAUUUCUGUUGAGCCGAAAUAUUUCAAAUUAUCUAAAGCUAUUAUUUCAUGAUAAUUGUUUUCGGCCUAACAGAAUUUUUUUUAAAUUGUCAAAACAAUUGAUUAUACUAAGGGAAAUCAUACUUUGAAAUACAAUUUGGUGUCAUCGUUUAAGAAAAAUAUCUGUCAUCUUGAAAGUUGAAACGUCGUUGUUGACAUACUAUAGUCGAACUCUUUAGAUGUUUUAUAUCAGUUAGAUAUUUUUUGUUUUUCAACAAGAAAUAAUUGUCCAAAAUAUGGACCUGAAUCGUGAAUUUUUCAAUUUUAAACAAAAAACUGUAUUGAGCCACCUUAAUGGCAAAUCUAGCUUACAACAAUCCCUGUUUGAAGGUCAGUCAAGGUGAAUCAAGUGACUAGCAGCUUUGCUUGUGUUGACUGUACUAAACAUACUUUGAACUCUGAAGAUCAACAAAGGUGAAUCAAUUAAACGUUUUACUUUAAACUAAGAUCAAUCAAGGUUCUUGAAUCAUGUAUAAGCAAGACCAAAUAUACAUCAAUGUUAAACGAUCGGAUUGCUUCACAAAAUAGCCAACACCAGCACGUAAUCAAUCUUAUAUAAUAUUCAAAGGAAGCACGACUAUACGUUCAGGCAAAGACUAUAUAUUCUAGAACUGCCAGGUUCGGAAUUUUAAUAGAUUACGUUCAGACUACCUUGUAUAUGCAGCUGAGCAAAAUAAUGCUGGCAGUUUGUUUAGAAAUUAAAUUAGCAUUCAUGUAAACCCAAAAUACUUGAAAUAGAGCAAGUCGAGAAAUUCAAAUGAAAAUCUUCGAAUUGACUGCAUGUUUUGAGAAGUGAGA
This is a non-coding RNA of Paramuricea clavata, 1495 nucleotides long. Lineage: Eukaryota; Metazoa; Cnidaria; Anthozoa; Malacalcyonacea; Plexauridae. The record is from the annotation of a GenBank genome assembly.